This 497-nucleotide ribosomal RNA is filed under the name uncultured bacterium. RNAcentral describes it as "partial 16S ribosomal RNA". It matches the Rfam family "Bacterial small subunit ribosomal RNA", at positions 28 to 507 of the family's 1533-position model. The record is from RNAcentral.
GAUGAACGCUGGCGGCGUGCCUAAUACAUGCAAGUCGAGCGAACAGACGAGGAGCUUGCUCCUCUGACGUUAGCGGCGGACGGGUGAGUAACACGUGGGUAACCUACCUAUAAGACUGGGAUAACUUCGGGAAACCGGAGCUAAUACCGGAUAAUAUAUUGAACCGCAUGGUUCAAUAGUGAAAGACGGUUUUGCUGUCACUUAUAGAUGGAUCCGCGCCGCAUUAGCUAGUUGGUAAGGUAACGGCUUACCAAGGCAACGAUGCGUAGCCGACCUGAGAGGGUGAUCGGCCACACUGGAACUGAGACACGGUCCAGACUCCUACGGGAGGCAGCAGUAGGUAAUCUUCCGCAAUGGGCGAAAGCCUGACGGAGCAACGCCGCGUGAGUGAUGAAGGUCUUCGGAUCGUAAAACUCUGUUAUUAGGGAAGAACAAAUGUGUAAGUAACUAUGCACGUCUUGACGGUACCUAAUCAGAAAGCCACGGCUAACUACGUG